Long non-coding RNA from Macaca fascicularis (crab-eating macaque), 1730 nucleotides. NCBI's taxonomy places the organism in Eukaryota, Metazoa, Chordata, Mammalia, Primates, Cercopithecidae. The record is from Ensembl.
CAAGCUCCUACACACUCCUCCAAACGUGUACACGCCCUGACAUGCCCGGAUGCAUCUCGUACUUAGACACACGCACACACACACACACACACACACACACACACACACACACAGAGGCACGGUCACGCAGUUGUAUGAGGACGCAGCGUACAGGUGCCGCCUACGUGACCAUGCCUCGAGUUGCCCCACUCAGCAGAAACCUCACUCCGCAGAAACCUGUCUACCAGCGAUCGAUUAUCUCGAGCAGCUAUUUGGCCAAGUCUUACCAAAAUGUGAAAUCCACAAAAGAAAAGUGAAGAAGAGGAGAGUUUCUUAAGGCUUUGCUCAGAGAGGGCUUCGGAGAAGGGCGGGGUCAGCCGAUACAGACCUUACUUUUUUUUUUUUUUUUUAAAUAUGGAAUCUCGCUGUGUCCCCCAGACUGGAGUGCAGUGGCGGGAUCUCGGCUCACUGCAAGCUCCGCCUCCCAAGUUCAAGCGAUUCUCCUGCCUCAGCCUCCCGAUUGGCUGGGACUACAGGCGUCCACCACCACGCCUGGCUAAUUUUUGUAUUUUUAGUAGAGUUGAGGUUUCACCAUGUUGGUCAGGCUGGUCUCGAACUCCUGACCUCGGGUGAUCCACCCACCUUCGGCCUCCCAAAGCGCUGGGAUUACAGGCAUGAGCCACCGCGCCCCGCCCAGACCUUACUUUCUUGACUUGGCCACAAGUCUGUCCUGCUCAGAGCUGCCUAAAGUGGCUCUCCUGUUCUAUGGGCUUGGGUGCAGGGUGGUGGCCCUUUCCUGGUCCCAGCUGCCUUCUUCCUGGGCACUGAAAAUGAUGCUACCAUUGUUAAGUGCCAGGCGUCACACCGUGGGGUUCUUCCCUGCGUAUCCACGUAGCCACGCCACGCCACGCAGGCAUUCUUUCCUCCCUUUUGCAGACGAUGGCACCGAAGUUCAAGACUUGCCCAGGGCCACCAAGACAGUCCUCUAGCCUUUGGUCCUCCCUCCUUGCCUCCUCGGCGUGGGGUGGUGGAGCCUUGGUCUGAGAAGGGUCGAGGUCUGGGCGCUGCCAGUGGCCCUGGCUCAGCCUCAGAACUGCCCGGGAGGGGGAGGAUGGCUAACUUAAGGAGGACAGGCAGAGGCUUCGUGCCGGCAGGGAGAGGGCUGAGCUGCGGCGGGCCACUCAGGUGGAGGGUGCUACACUUCCUUCAGUGGCCUUCAGGAAGCUCUGUCCUCACCCAGGGAUUGGGGUGAGUCAGGGCAUGGGGAAACAGGCUUACAGAGCCCACCUGCUCACCCUGACCACCCCACCCCAGGGGGCCCCAGGCUCCUAACUCUCAGAAUCCCACAGUCCGUAUUGGCGGAAGAUGGGCUGGCACCCUUGAGUUGGGCCCCUGGUCGUUGGCACAGAUAAGGGGAGCUGCUGCUGAAGGAGUCCCGACGGCUGAUCCUGUGGAGGCUUCUCAGAGCUCCUGGCAGGAGCCCCUCACCGUAGGAGGCCCACAGCACGUCCCCAGCCCCUCCCAGCUGCAUAUCGGCUCACAUUCACGCGGCUGCCACACAAGUGCGUAGGAAACUCCACUUGGCUGAACGUGUUUGUGCUGCUGUCUGGGACAGUCUUACGCACAUAAGCCCAAUACUGGAUGUCCCACCAUUUUCAGCCCUGGGGCCUAUGGCAAAGUGACACCUUCCUCGGCGUACACCGCACGGGGCCAUGACAAGGACGGUGUAAAGGCAAGUACUGACCAGGACG